Molecule: ribosomal RNA, 1428 nt
Filed under: Klebsiella sp. Ana-ws5
Lineage: Bacteria; Pseudomonadati; Pseudomonadota; Gammaproteobacteria; Enterobacterales; Enterobacteriaceae
Also listed under: 1 other name
Description: bacterial SSU rRNA
Rfam family: Bacterial small subunit ribosomal RNA
Source: RNAcentral
GCGGUAGCACAGAGAGCUUGCUCUCGGGUGACGAGCGGCGGACGGGUGAGUAAUGUCUGGGAAACUGCCUGAUGGAGGGGGAUAACUACUGGAAACGGUAGCUAAUACCGCAUAACGUCGCAAGACCAAAGUGGGGGACCUUCGGGCCUCAUGCCAUCAGAUGUGCCCAGAUGGGAUUAGCUAGUAGGUGGGGUAACGGCUCACCUAGGCGACGAUCCCUAGCUGGUCUGAGAGGAUGACCAGCCACACUGGAACUGAGACACGGUCCAGACUCCUACGGGAGGCAGCAGUGGGGAAUAUUGCACAAUGGGCGCAAGCCUGAUGCAGCCAUGCCGCGUGUAUGAAGAAGGCCUUCGGGUUGUAAAGUACUUUCAGCGGGGAGGAAGGCGAUAAGGUUAAUAACCUUGUCGAUUGACGUUACCCGCAGAAGAAGCACCGGCUAACUCCGUGCCAGCAGCCGCGGUAAUACGGAGGGUGCAAGCGUUAAUCGGAAUUACUGGGCGUAAAGCGCACGCAGGCGGUCUGUCAAGUCGGAUGUGAAAUCCCCGGGCUCAACCUGGGAACUGCAUUCGAAACUGGCAGGCUAGAGUCUUGUAGAGGGGGGUAGAAUUCCAGGUGUAGCGGUGAAAUGCGUAGAGAUCUGGAGGAAUACCGGUGGCGAAGGCGGCCCCCUGGACAAAGACUGACGCUCAGGUGCGAAAGCGUGGGGAGCAAACAGGAUUAGAUACCCUGGUAGUCCACGCCGUAAACGAUGUCGAUUUGGAGGUUGUGCCCUUGAGGCGUGGCUUCCGGAGCUAACGCGUUAAAUCGACCGCCUGGGGAGUACGGCCGCAAGGUUAAAACUCAAAUGAAUUGACGGGGGCCCGCACAAGCGGUGGAGCAUGUGGUUUAAUUCGAUGCAACGCGAAGAACCUUACCUGGUCUUGACAUCCACAGAACUUAGCAGAGAUGCUUUGGUGCCUUCGGGAACUGUGAGACAGGUGCUGCAUGGCUGUCGUCAGCUCGUGUUGUGAAAUGUUGGGUUAAGUCCCGCAACGAGCGCAACCCUUAUCCUUUGUUGCCAGCGGUUAGGCCGGGAACUCAAAGGAGACUGCCAGUGAUAAACUGGAGGAAGGUGGGGAUGACGUCAAGUCAUCAUGGCCCUUACGACCAGGGCUACACACGUGCUACAAUGGCAUAUACAAAGAGAAGCGACCUCGCGAGAGCAAGCGGACCUCAUAAAGUAUGUCGUAGUCCGGAUUGGAGUCUGCAACUCGACUCCAUGAAGUCGGAAUCGCUAGUAAUCGUAGAUCAGAAUGCUACGGUGAAUACGUUCCCGGGCCUUGUACACACCGCCCGUCACACCAUGGGAGUGGGUUGCAAAAGAAGUAGGUAGCUUAACCUUCGGGAGGGCGCUUACCACUUUGUGAUUCAUGACUGGGGGUAAGU